Molecule: ribosomal RNA, 253 nt
Filed under: uncultured bacterium
Lineage: Bacteria
Description: partial 16S ribosomal RNA
Rfam family: Bacterial small subunit ribosomal RNA
Source: RNAcentral
UACAGAGGGUGCGAGCGUUAAUCGGAAUUACUGGGCGUAAAGCGUGCGUAGACGGUGGCGUAAGUCGGGUGUGAAAGCCCCGGGCUCAACCUGGGAAUUGCAUUUGAGACUGCGUAGCUAGGGUGCGGAAGAGGGAAGCGGAAUUUCCGGUGUAGCGGUGAAAUGCGUAGAUAUCGGAAGGAACACCAGUGGCGAAAGCGGCUUCCUGGUCCAGCACCGACGUUCAGGCACGAAAGCGUGGGGAGCAAACAGG